RNAcentral lists this long non-coding RNA (1275 nucleotides) under Salvia miltiorrhiza (redroot sage). Its description in RNAcentral is "long non-coding RNA (SMIL_LNC000778)". Lineage: Eukaryota; Viridiplantae; Streptophyta; Magnoliopsida; Lamiales; Lamiaceae. The record is from RNAcentral.
GUUGGGCUCCAACAUUGGGCCUCUAAUUUAAUUAAGUGGGCUGCACUUUUAUAACUUGGGCUAUGUAUUAUAUUUUGGGCUGUAUUUUUGUAUGAAGAGAGCCUCUUAUUAAAUUACUAAUUGGGCCAUGAAUUUAUUUAUUUGUGAAUUGAGUUUUUAAAGUAAAAGCUGAGCAAGGGUAUUAUUGAAACCCUUAGCCAAGAAAAAUGAUUUUCAAGUUUCAUGUUGAAUUUAUGAAAACCCGGUUGUUGCGAAUCUAGUUAGAAAAUGAUGACAAGUCAUGAAGGUUAAGCUUGAUUUUAGGACUAUGAGUUUAAGUUGAGAACUUAUCUUGUAGGUCCUACAGAAGAGGAUAUUUAGGCUCUUGAUCAGCUAAGUUAUAUUGUUUGGAUUUUCUCCAAAUCAGGUGAGGCUUUAUUUACGAAAUGUAUGUUUGAGCUAAUAAGCUCGGUUUUAUGUAAAGUUAAAGUUGAUGGUUCAUGCUUAAAAUGUUUUUGCUCUCUAUUGGUUAUUGCUUCUACCAGAACAUUGUUGGCUCUGCCAACCAGAACAUUGUUAGCUCUGCUAACCAGAAUUGUGUACGUACACCAGAACCUGUUGUCUCGAAGAGAUUCGGUGACAACCAGUUGUAGAUAGCAUGCCCAAUAGAUGGCCAGGAAAAUAUGAGCUCAGAUUAUUUUAGUAUGCAUGGAAUGACUCACUUUAAAAACAUUCUGUGUUAUACUGUUUAAGGCAUGAAUUAUCUUUUUCAGUAAAUGAUUUUUAAAAUAUUUUUAAAUGGCUCAACCCACUGAGUACACUAGUACUCAGCCCUGCAAUUGUUUUCAAAACCUUUUGCAGAUUGAGCAGCUGGUGGUGAUGUGCGAGGCUGAGGAAAGGUUGUUGCUGUAAUAUUGGAGAACACUCUGUUUUACUUCCGCUGGAAUAAAUUCACUUGGUGAAUAUAAUCUUAUGCCUAACUAUACUUUAAAUCGUUUUAAUCUGGAUUCCAUUUUCCAUCGUUUUCCCAAGUGAUUGUUAUUCUGCACAUAUAUUAUAUGCCUAAUAUGAAAUGUUGUUUUGGGCUCAGACCUUCGAACUUUCGAUCCUGUUAGGGAGAACAAUUAUAUCAUAAUAUCAUGCUUAUUACCUUUGGAAUAUGACAUAUUUUUCAAUUGAUGAAAUGAUGCCCGGCUCUAUUGGCCUAUUACCCAUUUAAUUCAAAUAAAGUUUAGUAGUUUCGUCACAUAGCCCAUUUCUUAUUCUCCCGAAAAAUCGGGGCUGUCAUAUCACUGG